RNAcentral lists this ribosomal RNA (459 nucleotides) under uncultured bacterium. RNAcentral describes it as "partial 16S ribosomal RNA". It matches the Rfam family "Bacterial small subunit ribosomal RNA", at positions 338 to 795 of the family's 1533-position model. The record is from RNAcentral.
CCUACGGGAGGCAGCAGUGAGGAAUAUUGGUCAAUGGACGGGAGCCUGAACCAGCCAAGCCGCGUGAAGGAAGAAGGUACAGCGUAUCGUAAACCUCUUUUGUCAGGGAACAAAGGCGGGGACUAGUCCCCGGAUGAGGGUACCUGAAGAAAAAGCAUCGGCUAACUCCGUGCCAGCAGCCGCGGUAAUACGGAGGAUGCGAGCGUUAUCCGGAUUUAUUGGGUUUAAAGGGUGCGCAGGGGGCCUGUUAAGUCAGCGGGAAAAGCCCGGGGCUCAACCUCGCCGAGCCGUUGAAACUGGCGGGCUGGAGUUGGAGAGAGGUACGCGGAAUGCGUGGUGUAGCGGUGAAAUGCUUAGAUAUCACGAAGAACCCCGAUUGCGAAGGCAGCGCACUGGCUCCACACUGACGCUGAGGCACGAAAGCGUGGGUAUCGAACAGGAUUAGAUACCCCUGUAGUC